Molecule: long non-coding RNA, 483 nt
Organism: Mauremys mutica (yellowpond turtle)
Lineage: Eukaryota; Metazoa; Chordata; Testudines; Geoemydidae
Exons: 3
Source: RefSeq, a predicted model, not a curated record
AUGCUCCUCAGGGUUAAACUGUAAACCAGAAGCUUCACACCAGGGCGAGGUGUGUUUAAGUACUGGAGAGUCCGAAGGAUGUGGAAUUUAAAGCCAACAUAGCCAUCUUGAGUUUAACACUGAAUGACUGCUGUAAUAUCAAAGGGAACUUGUGUUGUGUGAUGCUCCACUGAUAGACUUGUGACAUGAGCCAAAGACUUCAUUCAAGAACACCCACAACAGCCUUUCAAGUACAACAGUGGAGUAGGCAGACAGCAUUAAAGGCUCAUCAACACCCGUCAAGAAAAGAAGCCAGUAUCCUAGAGACUUCUCAGAGGAAGCAUGUACACCAUGGGGGUGGACUAAUCGCGUCCAAGCAAAGAUCUUUCCAGAAAGCUGGAAGAAAAUAUAAAAGAGGAGAAGCGACAUGAUCACUUGGCUUCUCUCUCCUCCCUCCUCUCAACUCAACACCCGGAAGAAACGUCUGGAGGUCAAAGACUUUGA